UACGUAGGGACCAAGCGUUGUUCGGAUUUACUGGGCGUAAAGGGCGCGUAGGCGGCGUGGUAAGUCACUUGUGAAAUCUCUGAGCUUAACUCAGAACGGCCAAGUGAUACUGCUGUGCUAGAGUGCAGAAGGGGCAAUCGGAAUUCUUGGUGUAGCGGUGAAAUGCGUAGAUAUCGUAAGGAAGACCAGUGGCGAAGGCGAAUCUCUGGACAGUUACUGACACUGAGGCACGAAGGCCAGGGGAGCAAACGGG
Molecule: ribosomal RNA, 253 nt
Filed under: uncultured bacterium
Lineage: Bacteria
Description: partial 16S ribosomal RNA
Rfam family: Bacterial small subunit ribosomal RNA
Source: RNAcentral